CACACCGCCCGUCGCUACUACCGAUUGAAUGGCUCAGUGAGGCGUCCGGACUGGCCCAGAGAGGUGGGCAACUACCACUCAGGGCCGGAAAGUUCUCCAAACUCGGUCAUUUAGAGGAAGUAAAAGUCGUAACAAGGUCUCCGUUGGUGAACCAGCGGAGGGAUCAUUACCGAGUUUACAACUCCCAAACCCCUGUGAACAUACCUCUUGUUGCUUCGGCGGGAUCGCCCCGGCGCCCCCGGGCCCGGACUCCGGCGCCCGCCGGAGACCCCCAAACUCUUUGUUUCCCACUGUGUUACCCUCUGAGUCCCACAAACAAAUGAAUUAAAACUUUCAACAACGGAUCUCUUGGUUCUGGCAUCGAUGAAGAACGCAGCGAAAUGCGAUAAGUAAUGUGAAUUGCAGAAUUCAGUGAAUCAUCGAAUCUUUGAACGCACAUUGCGCCCGCUAGUAUUCUGGCGGGCAUGCCUGUUCGAGCGUCAUUUCAACCCUCAAGCCCCCGGGCUUGGUGUUGGGGAUCGGCCGCCGCAACCCGGUGGCCGGCCCCGAAUCCCAGUGGCGGUCUCGCUGUAGCCUCCCCUGCGUAGUAGCACACCUCGCACUGGAACUCGGCGCGGCCACGCCGUAAAACCCCCCACUUCUGAAGGUUGACCUCGGAUCAGGUAGGAAUACCCGCUGAACUUAAGCAUAUCAAUAAGCGGAGGAAAAGAAACCAACAGGGAUUGCCCCAGUAACGGCGAGUGAAGCGGCAACAGCUCAAAUUUGAAAUCUGGCCCCCGCGGUCCGAGUUGUAAUUUGUAGAGGAUGCUUUUGGUGCGGUGCCUUCCGAGUUCCCUGGAACGGGACGCCAUAGAGGGUGAGAGCCCCGUCUGGUCGGAUACCAAUCCUCUGUAAAGCUCCUUCGACGAGUCGAGUAGUUUGGGAAUGCUGCUCUAAAUGGGAGGUAUAUGUCUUCUAAAGCUAAAUAUAGGCCAGAGACCGAUAGCGCACAAGUAGAGUGAUCGAAAGAUGAAAAGCACUUUGAAAAGAGGGUUAAAUAGUACGUGAAAUUGUUGAAAGGGAAGCGUUCAUGACCAGACUUGGGCUUGGCUAAUCAUCUGGCGUUCUCGCCGGUGCACUUGACCGGCCCAGGCCAGCAUCAGUUCGCUGCGGGGGAGAAAGGCUCGGGGAAUGUGGCUCCCGCGCGGAGUGUUAUAGCCCCCUGCACAAUACCCUGCGGUGGACUGAGGUUCGCGCAUCUGCUAGGAUGCUGGCGUAAUGGUCAUCAAUGACCCGUCUUGAAACACGGACCAAGGAGUCGUCUUCGUAUGCGAGUGUUCGGGUGUCAAACCCCUACGCGUAAUGAAAGUGAACGGAGGUGAGAGCUUAGGCGCAUCAUCGACCGAUCCUGAUGUUUUCGGAUGGAUUUGAGUAAGAGCAUACGGGGCCGGACCCGAAAGAAGGUGAACUAUGCCUGUAUAGGGUGAAGCCAGAGGAAACUCUGGUGGAGGCUCGCAGCGGUUCUGACGUGCAAAUCGAUCGUCAAAUAUGGGCAUGGGGGCGAAAGACUAAUCG
RNAcentral lists this ribosomal RNA (1554 nucleotides) under Thyronectria obscura. Its description in RNAcentral is "eukaryotic LSU rRNA". The stretch from base 649 to 1554 matches the Rfam family "Eukaryotic large subunit ribosomal RNA", at positions 1 to 937 of the family's 3401-position model. The record is from RNAcentral. Lineage: Eukaryota; Fungi; Ascomycota; Sordariomycetes; Hypocreales; Nectriaceae.